This 253-nucleotide ribosomal RNA is filed under the name uncultured bacterium. RNAcentral's name for it is "partial 16S ribosomal RNA". It matches the Rfam family "Bacterial small subunit ribosomal RNA", at positions 524 to 776 of the family's 1533-position model. The record is from RNAcentral.
UACGUAGGGUGCAAGCGUUGUCCGGAAUUAUUGGGCGUAAAGAGCUCGUAGGCGGUCUGUCGCGUCGGAUGUGAAAAUCCAGGGCUCAACCCUGGACCUGCAUUCGAUACGGGCAGACUAGAGUUCGGUAGGGGAGACUGGAAUUCCUGGUGUAGCGGUGAAAUGCGCAGAUAUCAGGAGGAACACCGGUGGCGAAGGCGGGUCUCUGGGCCGAAACUGACGCUGAAGAGCGAAAGCGUGGGGAGCGAACAGG